CACCGGCGGCCCGAGUGGUGGCCACUAUUAUUGGGUCUAAAGGGUCCGUAGCCGGUUUGAUCAGUCUUCUGGGAAAUCUGACAGCUCAACUGUUAGGCUUCUGGGGGAUACUGUCAGACUUGGGACCGGGAGAGGUAAGAGGUACUACAGGGGUAGGAGUGAAAUCUUGUAAUCCCUGUGGGACCACCAGUGGCGAAGGCGUCUUACCAGAACGGGUCCGACGGUGAGGGACGAAAGCUGGGGGCACGAA
This 250-nucleotide ribosomal RNA is filed under the name uncultured archaeon. Its description in RNAcentral is "partial 16S ribosomal RNA". It matches the Rfam family "Archaeal small subunit ribosomal RNA", at positions 474 to 723 of the family's 1478-position model. The record is from RNAcentral.